Molecule: RNA transcript, 613 nt
Organism: Eucalyptus grandis
Lineage: Eukaryota; Viridiplantae; Streptophyta; Magnoliopsida; Myrtales; Myrtaceae
Gene name: RNA pseudouridine synthase 4, mitochondrial
Exons: 4
Source: RefSeq, a predicted model, not a curated record
AUUCUUGAACCUUUUUUUCAGGAUUCUGCUAGCAGAAAGAGAUUAUUGCAACGGAAGUAUUGGGCGUUGUCAUUGAUCACCUAGGCGAUCAAAGGGAGUGAUUUCUGCACCACUGGGAAAGGUGCUGAUGGACAAUGGAAAAUCAGAUCGUAUAACCAUUAUCAACGGCAGUCAGACGAUCCCAUCUUAUCAUGCAAUAACAGAGUAUGAAGUGAUUGAGUCUCGUCAUGGCUAUACAUGGCUACAGCUGUCACCGCUUACUGAAGAAAGCAUCAGCUUAGAGUGCAUUGUGCUGAGGCACUGGGAACUCCAAUAGUUGGGGACUACAAGUAUGGCUGGCAAGCUCAUAGAAACUUCAAAAAUUGGCAAGUAUCAAAUUCUGAAGAAAGUUUUAGCAGGAAGCUUAAAGGGAGGGCUCUUCCCUUUGGCCUUGAUCUGGAUAACGGAAGCAUUUCUGAUGAGCGACCUCGGCUGCAUCUACACAGUAACCAAGUUCUAUUGCCUAAUAUUGCUCUGGCUUUGCAAAAUAUGCAGCUAUCUUCAGGAUAUGAUUUGUCAGAACUGGAAACUCUUGAAUUGUUGUUCAUUGCCUCCAUACAUGCAAAAAGCUUAG